This is a long non-coding RNA of Triticum aestivum (bread wheat), 201 nucleotides long. RefSeq lists it as uncharacterized. The record is from RefSeq and is a predicted model, not a curated record. The transcript has 2 exons. NCBI's taxonomy places the organism in Eukaryota, Viridiplantae, Streptophyta, Magnoliopsida, Poales, Poaceae.
UGGAGAUCGACUACGCAGUGGGGAAAUGAGCUAGGGGCUGAUUCUAACUGUCAAGAGGGACAAACAAUGGGCUGGCUCAUGAACUAGCCAAUGAUGCUAAAGCUCAUGGAGACCUUGUGGUUGCGUAUGGUGUCCCGGACCAACUCCAUGAUCAGCUCUGGAAGGAAAACAAUGCAGCCUUGACGUCGGCCUAAGUCUUGA